GCGGCCGUAGUCUAGCCUGGUUAGGACUUCGGCUUCCCGAGCCGACUACCCGGGUUCGAAUCCCGGCGGCCGCACCA
Molecule: transfer RNA, 77 nt
Filed under: Candidatus Bathyarchaeota archaeon
Lineage: Archaea; Thermoproteati; Candidatus Bathyarchaeota
Also listed under: 1 other name
Description: tRNA-Gly
Rfam family: tRNA
About the family: Transfer RNA (tRNA) molecules are approximately 80 nucleotides in length.
Source: RNAcentral